AUAUGAAUUACUUGGAAAAGCUUUAGUUUAAAUGCAUAUUUUAAUUCAGAGUUUGGGAGAAUCUACAUUUCUAAUAAAUUCCCAGGUGAUGUUGAU
Molecule: microRNA precursor, 96 nt
Filed under: Marmota monax (woodchuck)
Lineage: Eukaryota; Metazoa; Chordata; Mammalia; Rodentia; Sciuridae
Source: RNAcentral